GAGAUCGUGGUGAAGUGGAUAACACGUCAGGUUGUGGCCCUGAUACUGCACCGGUUCGAUUCCGGUCGAUCUCCCCA
Molecule: transfer RNA, 77 nt
Filed under: Paenibacillus macerans
Lineage: Bacteria; Bacillati; Bacillota; Bacilli; Caryophanales; Paenibacillaceae
Also listed under: 2 other names
Description: tRNA-His(gtg)
Rfam family: tRNA
About the family: Transfer RNA (tRNA) molecules are approximately 80 nucleotides in length. Their secondary structure includes four short double-helical elements and three loops (D, anti-codon, and T loops). Further hydrogen bonds mediate the characteristic L-shaped molecular structure. tRNAs have two regions of fundamental functional importance: the anti-codon, which is responsible for specific mRNA codon recognition, and the 3' end, to which the tRNAs corresponding amino acid is attached (by aminoacyl-tRNA synthetases). tRNAs cope with the degeneracy of the genetic code in two manners: having more than one tRNA (with a specific anti-codon) for a particular amino acid; and 'wobble' base-pairing, i.e. permitting non-standard base-pairing at the 3rd anti-codon position.
Source: RNAcentral